ACGGUGGAUGCCCUGGCAGUCAGAGGCGAUGAAGGACGUGCUAAUCUGCGAUAAGCGCCGGUAAGGUGAUAUGAACCGUUAUAACCGGCGAUUUCCGAAUGGGGAAACCCAGUGUGACUCGUCACACUAUCAUUAACUGAAUCCAUAGGUUAAUGAGGCGAACCGGGGGAACUGAAACAUCUAAGUACCCCGAGGAAAAGAAAUCAACCGAGAUUCCCCCAGUAGCGGCGAGCGAACGGGGAGGAGCCCAGAGCCUGAAUCAGCAUGUGUGUUAGUGGAAGCGUCUGGAAAGGCGCGCGAUACAGGGUGACAGCCCCGUACACAAAAGCGCAUGUGCUGUGAGCUCGAUGAGUAGGGCGGGACACGUGGUAUCCUGUCUGAAUAUGGGGGGACCAUCCUCCAAGGCUAAAUACUCCUGACUGACCGAUAGUGAACCAGUACCGUGAGGGAAAGGCGAAAAGAACCCCGGCGAGGGGAGUGAAAAAGAACCUGAAACCGU
Molecule: ribosomal RNA, 499 nt
Filed under: Salmonella enterica subsp. enterica serovar Heidelberg
Lineage: Bacteria; Pseudomonadati; Pseudomonadota; Gammaproteobacteria; Enterobacterales; Enterobacteriaceae
Also listed under: 1 other name
Description: partial 23S ribosomal RNA
Rfam family: Bacterial large subunit ribosomal RNA
Source: RNAcentral